GGCCCUUACCAGAAGCCAGCACCAUGUCCUUGAACAGAGCAGCUUGCAGGACUAUGAGCCAUGAUAGAAUAACAGAGCACAGAUUUGGCUUCUCAUGUUAAACAACUGAACCGUCAGAAAAAUAUAUGAAAAUAAUGAUGUUUCAAGUAUCAGAGAACAAUCAGUGCAGACAGUAACACCUAGGAGAGAAGAACUAAUGAAAUGAGCUUUAAGAUUGCUGUGCAUACUGCUCGGAGAAUUUCCAGGCCAUAGCACAACUCAAAUAUCACAGCUCAACUGGCUAUCUGCUUAAGUUGAAGGGACAGAGUUGAACAUUCUGAGAAGUCAAAGUGGUUAGAAUUUGCAGGGCAGGUUACUGGAGAGAAGAGAAAUGCACAGACAUCCAAAUGUCUGCAGAUGGCUCCUGUAAAGUCUUCAGCUGAAUGCUGGUCAGCACAUUCACGUAAGGGAAUUAUCUGAAGGUAGGGGAAAAAAAAUCACCAGAAAGGAAUAAUCAGAACAAUCCCUACAGCUCACUCAGAGCCAGGAAUAGUUUGUGUUUUCACUAAUUCAAAUGAAAAAAAUAAUCUUGUUAAUAUACAAGGCAUCAAAAAGAGUGCUAAGAAAUAUUUCUCUUAAAGAGGAAAAAUUAGCUCUGGACUAAUGUGCUGGAAUUUCUAUUUUCUGGACUAGUGGCUACUCUGGAUCCACCUAACAAAGCAAAAAGCAGGAAUUGAAGUGAUCAAACUGUUUUCAAAUGAUGUAAUUGUGUCUCAGAAUAAAUUCUAAGUAUAUUUCACUGAGAUGGAAUAUGUAGGACCUAACAAAAUAAAUUUCAAAAUACCUAGCAUCUAAUAAAGAAAUGAGCAGAUAUUCAAUGAAGUAGGAAAAUAAGAUUCUUAAUUAAGAGGAAAAAAUAAUGAAAUGCCAAAAAUGAUAUAAUUAUUAAAAAAAGAAAAACAGUUUUGAUAUACUCUAUAUAUACUCAAGAUGACAGAUAAGCACAAACAUGUUAAGGAGAGGCAUGGAAGAUUACUGGACUUUUGAAGAUGAAAAAUACAAUGUCAAAGAGGAAAAAGGCAUUGCAUGGCAUUGCCAAGAGGUUAGAAAUGGAAGAAGAAUACAUUAGUGAACUUGAAGAUAUAUCAAUUAAACUAUCCUGGAUGAACUCAAGAGAGAAAAAUGAGUGAAAAAAAUGAACAGUAUCAGUGAGCUGUGAAAUAUCAAAUGACCUAAAAUACAUUCAAAUCAUAGAAUCCCCAAAGCAGAGGAAGAGGGCAGAGAAAUACAUGAAAAAUAAUGACUUCAGUUUUUUUUUUUUGUUUUCAAAUUGAUGAGAACUAUAAACCACAGAUUCAAGAAGCUUACAAACCCCAACCUUAAGAAACAUGAAAAAAACUGCAAGGGACAUCAUAAUCACAUUGCUUAAAACCAGUGAUAAGAAAAAAAAUCUUAAAAACAGCCACAGGAAAAAGAUACAUUAUGUAUAGGAAAAUGAAGAUAAGAAUACAAGUCAGGAUUACUGUGGCAGUACUUUUUUAAGUAAAGGAAGAAAAAAAAAGGACCUAUCAAACUAGAAUUCCAUAUUCUACAAAAAUAUCUUUCAAGGAAAAUGAAAAAAAAAAGGCAAUACAAAGGCUAACAAAAUUCACCACCAGCACUGCAAAGAAAUGUUAAAGGAAGUUCUUCAGGAAGAUAAAAAUCUCAAUCUAUUCAAGGAAUGAAGAUCAACAGAUAAAGUAUUACUUAAUGAAGAUAAAUGAAAACAUAUGCCCACACAAAGGAAUGUGAAUGGAAUAAAAAAGACAAGAAAACUAUGAUUCAAUUCCAUAAAAUUCCAGAAAAUGCAAGCUUGCCUGUCAUAACUGUAAGAAUAUCAGUGGUUGCUGGAGACAAAAGACAGGUGAUGACAGGGAAGAAUAGCUGUAUUACAAAGUGGCAUGAAAAUACUUCUUGGAGUGAUGGAUAUGUUUAUUUCCUUGAUUGUAGUGAUGGAUUUACAGGUAUGCACAUAUGUUAAGUUCACGAAAUUUUACACUUUAAAUAUAUACACUGUGCUACGUGUCAUUUAUAUCACAAUGAAGCUGUUCAAAUUAAUAAACCAUGACUCGGUACUUGAAACAAAUGACCUGCUCUUCAAUCCCAGCUUUUUCAUACAUUCUUUCUCUAGGUGACCAAAGGCAGGGAGUCUUACAUGUUAUUAGCAUCCCGUGACCUCUUAGCAAAUGUCAGGAACUCUUCUUAGUACUGUUCAUGGAUUAUAUCUUUAUAACGAAUUGAUAAAGUAAAUUAUAUCAUUAAUCUCUUAAAUGUUAUUUUUAAACUCUAUAGUUGACCUUUUAAAAUGGUUAAGUAACCUGUUUAAAGCCACAGAGUUAGAAGGUAAGUGGGAUUUAAUGCAGGCAUCUGAAAUUUGUGCCCAUACAUUUAUUAACAAGAUUGUAUUACUUCUGGUGGGGAAGUGAGUAUUAGGCUCCAAAUAAUGUGUUGAGGUAGAUUGAGUUCCACAAAGUGGCUGUCAGAUCAGAAGUCUUUAAAAGCAGAGCAGGAGACAUUGCUUCUGUUGCUGAUGAAAAACAAUUUAUUUACAACGGUGUUGACAGCCCUGGAGCCCAGGAAAGGUAAGGACUAGACUCUGCAUCCUGCCGGUAAAAAAUGAUGACUAAGUAAAGUUGAUUCUUCAUGUAAAUUGCUAAUAGAGUCACAGUUAUUGACAUAAGGUCCCCCCUGCCAAUCACUUAUGUCAGUACAGUUCUGGACAGGAAAAGAACAUGAAACAGAGAAAGGCUUGACAUUAAAGACAUGGGCGUCAAGAGAAGAGAUAUGUAGGAAUUAGUCUAGGCAGACAUUCGUUUCAAACACUGGAGUCUGCUUAGUAUAAUUAGGAGAGACAGAGGUGGUGAUUA
RNAcentral lists this long non-coding RNA (2885 nucleotides) under Homo sapiens (human). RNAcentral describes it as "HSALNT0088652". The record is from RNAcentral. Lineage: Eukaryota; Metazoa; Chordata; Mammalia; Primates; Hominidae.